RNAcentral lists this ribosomal RNA (581 nucleotides) under uncultured bacterium. Its description in RNAcentral is "partial 16S ribosomal RNA". It matches the Rfam family "Bacterial small subunit ribosomal RNA", at positions 355 to 932 of the family's 1533-position model. The record is from RNAcentral.
CGGGGAAUAUUGGACAAUGGGCGCAAGCCUGAUCCAGCAAUGCCGCGUGUGUGAAGAAGGCCUUCGGGUUGUAAAGCACUUUUAUCAGGAGCGAAACGCUGUCGGCUAAUACCCGGCGGAACUGACGGUACCUGAGGAAUAAGCACCGGCUAACUUCGUGCCAGCAGCCGCGGUAAUACGAAGGGUGCAAGCGUUAAUCGGAAUUACUGGGCGUAAAGCGUGCGUAGGCGGUUUCUUAAGUCUGCUGUGAAAUCCCCGGGCUCAACCUGGGAAUGGCAGUGGAUACUGGGAGGCUAGAGUGUGUCAGAGGGUGGUGGAAUUCCCGGUGUAGCGGUGAAAUGCGUAGAGAUCGGGAGGAACAUCAGUGGCGAAGGCGGCCACCUGGGACAACACUGACGCUGAGGCACGAAAGCGUGGGGAGCAAACAGGAUUAGAUACCCUGGUAGUCCACGCCCUAAACGAUGCGAACUGGAUGUUGGUCUCAACUCGGAGAUCAGUGUCGAAGCUAACGCGUUAAGUUCGCCGCCUGGGGAGUACGGUCGCAAGACUGAAACUCAAAGGAAUUGACGGGGUCAUAGCUG